RNAcentral lists this ribosomal RNA (626 nucleotides) under uncultured bacterium. RNAcentral's name for it is "bacterial SSU rRNA". It matches the Rfam family "Bacterial small subunit ribosomal RNA", at positions 8 to 636 of the family's 1533-position model. The record is from RNAcentral.
AGACUUUGAUCUGGCUCAGGAUGAACGCUGGCGGCGUGCCUAACACAUGCAAGUCGAGCGAACUAAUUUAACAGAAGCUUUCGGGUGGAAGUUAAUGCGGUUAGCGGCGGACGGGUGAGUAACGCGUGGGCAACCUACCCUGUACAGGGGGAUAACAAUGGGAAACCAUUGCUAAUACCCCAUAACACCUUUAAAGGGCAUCCUUUGAAGGUCAAAGAAUUUCGGUAUAGGAUGGGCCCGCGUCUGAUUAGCUAGUUGGUAAGGUAACGGCUUACCAAGGCAACGAUCAGUAGCCGGCCUGAGAGGGUGAUCGGCCACACUGGAACUGAGACACGGUCCAGACUCCUACGGGAGGCAGCAGUGGGGAAUAUUGCACAAUGGGGGAAACCCUGAUGCAGCAACGCCGCGUGAGCGAUGAAGGCUUUCGAGUCGUAAAGCUCUGUCCUAAGGGAAGAUAGUGACGGUACCUUAGGAGGAAGCCCCGGCUAACUACGUGCCAGCAGCCGCGGUAAUACGUAGGGGGCAAGCGUUAUCCGGAAUCAUUGGGCGUGAAGGGUGCGUAGGCCGGCCCCUAUGGGUCAGAGGUUAAAGGCUACGGCUCAACCGUAGUAAGCCUUUGAAACUGU